CCUUUGCUAUUAUCGUCAAAAUUUAUCACUCAUUCUUCCUUUCUUCAAGGGUGACAAGUUAUGCUUUAUCACCUGGGAUGUGCUUUGAAUAACCACUAUCAAGAUAUCAUCUCUUCUUUUUUUUGUCUUUGGCUGCAAGAUACACCUACAAGAGAAGAACUAAAUUGUAAUUUUAGAUACCCAAACUAUUUUGGAUCCUUUGGUGUUAGUUACAAUAGAUCCUUUUGCAAUCUA
Molecule: long non-coding RNA, 234 nt
Filed under: Elaeis guineensis (African oil palm)
Lineage: Eukaryota; Viridiplantae; Streptophyta; Magnoliopsida; Arecales; Arecaceae
Description: long non-coding RNA (EGUI_LNC020261)
Source: RNAcentral